RNAcentral lists this ribosomal RNA (502 nucleotides) under uncultured Glomeromycotina. Its description in RNAcentral is "partial small subunit ribosomal RNA". It matches the Rfam family "Eukaryotic small subunit ribosomal RNA", at positions 591 to 1092 of the family's 1831-position model. Lineage: Eukaryota; Fungi; Glomeromycota. The record is from RNAcentral.
CCAAUAGCGUAUAUUAAAGUUGUUGCAGUUAAAAAGCUCGUAGUUGAACUUCGGGGUUUACCCAUUGGUCAGGCUUAAUUGUCUGCACUGGUGAGAUGAAUCUCUACCUUCUGAGGAACUUUCAUGCCAUUUAUUUGGUGUGGUGGGAAAUCAGGACUGUUACUUUGAAAAAAUUAGAGUGUUAAAAGCAGGCUAAGGUCUGAAUACAUUAGCAUGGAAUAAUGAAAUAGGACGGACUGAUUCGAUUUCGUUGGUUUCUAGGAGCACCGUAAUGAUUAAUAGGGAUAGUUGGGGGCAUUAGUAUUCAAUUGUCAGAGGUGAAAUUCUUGGAUUUAUUGAAGACUAACUACUGCGAAAGCAUUUGCCAAGGAUGUUUUCAUUAAUCAAGAACGAAAGUUAGGGGAUCGAAGACGAUCAGAUACCGUCGUAGUCUUAACCAUAAACUAUGCCGACUAGGGAUCGGAUGAUGUUGAUUUUUUAAUGACUCAUUCGGCGCCUUACG